UAAUAUAUAAGGAGUAAUUUUUUGUUUUUUCUCUUUUAUGUUAAAUUUACAAUCAAAGAAAACACACUCUUAUAUAAUUCGACAUGAGCCUGUUAAAAAAAAAAAAUAAAGUGCGAAAUGCCUCAAUGCUAGGCAGACACGAUUCAAUUAUCUUUUUCCAACACAUAAGAUUUAAGAAAUAUUUAAUUCCUUAAAAGAUUGACACGAAAAAAAAAGAAAAAAAAAAUAAAAGAUGGGUUAAAGAAUAGAAGUGAGGGCUUGAGGAGUCGACGUCAGUGAAGAGGCAUAGACGGUAGGUAAUUUUUAUCAAUUGCUCAAAG
Molecule: long non-coding RNA, 320 nt
Filed under: Salvia miltiorrhiza (redroot sage)
Lineage: Eukaryota; Viridiplantae; Streptophyta; Magnoliopsida; Lamiales; Lamiaceae
Description: long non-coding RNA (SMIL_LNC000013)
Source: RNAcentral